RNAcentral lists this ribosomal RNA (496 nucleotides) under uncultured bacterium. RNAcentral's name for it is "partial 16S ribosomal RNA". It matches the Rfam family "Bacterial small subunit ribosomal RNA", at positions 28 to 506 of the family's 1533-position model. The record is from RNAcentral.
GAUGAACGCUGGCGGCGUGCCUAAUACAUGCAAGUCGAGCGAACGGACGAGAAGCUUGCUUCUCUGAUGUUAGCGGCGGACGGGUGAGUAACACGUGGAUAACCUACCUAUAAGACUGGGAUAACUUCGGGAAACCGGAGCUAAUACCGGAUAAUAUUUUGAACCGCAUGGUUCAAAAGUGAAAGACGGUCUUGCUGUCACUUAUAGAUGGAUCCGCGCUGCAUUAGCUAGUUGGUAAGGUAACGGCUUACCAAGGCAACGAUGCAUAGCCGACCUGAGAGGGGGAACGGCCACACUGGAACUGAGACACGGUCCAGACCCCUACGGGAGGCAGCAGUAGGGAAUCUUCCGCAAUGGGCGAAAGCCUGACGGAGAAACGCCGCGUGAGUGAUGAAGGUCUUCGGAUCGUAAAACUCUUUUAUUAGGGAAGAACAUUUGUGUAAGUAACUGUGCACCUCUUGACGGUACCUAAUCAGAAAGCCACGGCUAACUACGU